AGCAUUAAGCACUGAAUGAAGAACACAAGUCUGCUAAACUGAAGCAAAAGAGUCUUCUGAGUUCUUCUACAGUCCAGUAAUGGGAGAAUGUAGUGACAACUGCAAGUAAACAGAAGCAGAUGAAGAGACUAUGAGAACGUCAGAUGGUGAACAACCACACCUGGUUCUUUCGCAUUACACACCACUAAUGUGUUAGGAAUUAAUUUGAGCCUGUUAAGCUGGGUCAUGCAAGCAGACGUGUGGGAGAUCAUUUGGGAAGUGGUGGGAUUCUGGCAGGCUCUGGACCAGUACUUGGCUCAGGACCAGCCUACAGUAUGUAAAUAAAAAAAAAAAACUCCAACUCCCACACCUCGGUACAAGCACUUGUAAGUGCAACAAACACAAUGUACCACAGGAUUUUGCCUUUUUAAGUGAGAAUUAAUCUCACUUAGAGCCGUGAGUGGCCCAGAUUGGUCUCUAGGCACUCCAGACAAUGUUUUGUCAAGUCUCAUUUCCUAAAAGCAUUUCCCCUUUAACUACUAAUUUCCAUUCACAGCUCGAAAGCCCUCUGCCUCCCCUCAAGUGAGAGUUCAGCACAGGAAAUGGCAUUUUAAAUAAGGCAGCUGCUUCAUUUGAGUAACACUGAGGCCAGCAUCUCUGUGGAUACUCACUGUCAAGACACUGUUCACACUCGGUCUGUGUCGCUCCA
Pimephales promelas (fathead minnow) is the source of this 688-nucleotide non-coding RNA. The record is from RefSeq and is a predicted model, not a curated record. NCBI's taxonomy places the organism in Eukaryota, Metazoa, Chordata, Actinopteri, Cypriniformes, Leuciscidae.